AAAGUCGUAACAAGGUUUCCGUAGGUGAACCUGCGGAAGGAUCAUUACAAAUCCAACGUCUCCUGGAGACACCGUCGAAACAGCGUGAUGGAGAUGAUGGGACGCGACGUGACGCGUGGACGAGUAGACGAGUGGCAGCCGCCGCCCGUCUGCCGUCUGCCGUCGGCGUCGCCCACCCCGCCGUCUCCAUUUACAACCCAGAAAUCGUUGAUCAUUUGUAUGCUUCGUAACACGAAACAACUUAUACCAAUGGAUCUCUAGGCUCUU
RNAcentral lists this unclassified non-coding RNA (267 nucleotides) under Ascomycota sp. RNAcentral describes it as "partial contains small subunit ribosomal RNA, internal transcribed spacer 1, and 5.8S ribosomal RNA". The stretch from base 1 to 47 matches the Rfam family "Eukaryotic small subunit ribosomal RNA", at positions 1785 to 1831 of the family's 1831-position model. Lineage: Eukaryota; Fungi; Ascomycota. The record is from RNAcentral.